GACGAACGCUGGCGGCGUGCCUAAUACAUGCAAGUCGAACGCAGUGGCGGACGGGUGAGUAACACGUGGGUAACCUACCCAUCAGAGGGGGAUAACACUUGGAAACAGGUGCUAAUACCGGAUAGUGGGGGAUGGGCCCGCGGCCUAUCAGCUUGUUGGUGGGGUGAUGGCCUACCAAGGCGGUGACGGGUAGCCGGCCUGAGAGGGGGACCGGCCACACUGGGACUGAGACACGGCCCAGACUCCUACGGGAGGCAGCAGUGGGGAGUAUUGCGCAAUGGGCGGAAGCCUGACGCAGCGACGCCGCGUGGGGGAUGACGGCCUUCGGGUUGUAAACCUCUUUCGCCAGGGACGCGGUACCUGGAGAAGAAGCACCGGCCAACUACGUGCCAGCAGCCGCGGUAAUAC
Molecule: ribosomal RNA, 408 nt
Filed under: uncultured bacterium
Lineage: Bacteria
Description: partial 16S ribosomal RNA
Rfam family: Bacterial small subunit ribosomal RNA
Source: RNAcentral